This 85-nucleotide transfer RNA is filed under the name Felis catus (domestic cat). It matches the Rfam family "tRNA". Rfam says of the family: Transfer RNA (tRNA) molecules are approximately 80 nucleotides in length. Their secondary structure includes four short double-helical elements and three loops (D, anti-codon, and T loops). The record is from Rfam by way of RNAcentral. Lineage: Eukaryota; Metazoa; Chordata; Mammalia; Carnivora; Felidae. RNAcentral also lists the same sequence under 4 other names.
GCCUGAGUGGCUCAGUCGGUUAAGCGUCUGACUUCAGCUCAGGUCAUGAUCUCACGGUUCAUGGGUUCAAGCCCCAUGUCGGGCU